This 296-nucleotide signal recognition particle RNA is filed under the name Cebus imitator (Panamanian white-faced capuchin). Its description in RNAcentral is "Metazoan signal recognition particle RNA (ENSCCAG00000008899.1)". It matches the Rfam family "Metazoan signal recognition particle RNA". Rfam says of the family: The signal recognition particle (SRP) is a universally conserved ribonucleoprotein. It is involved in the co-translational targeting of proteins to membranes. Lineage: Eukaryota; Metazoa; Chordata; Mammalia; Primates; Cebidae. The record is from RNAcentral.
ACCGGGCACAGUUGUGCGUUCCUGUAGUCCCAGCUACUCGGAAGGCUGAGGUGGGAGGAUCGCUUGAGCCCAGGAGUUCUGGACUGCAGUGAGCUAUGCCAAUCGGGUGUCUGUACUAAGUUCAGCAUCGAUACGGUGACCUCCCGGGAGCGGGGGACCACUAGGUUGCCUAAGGAGGGGUGAACCAGCCCAGGUCAGAAACAGAGCUGUCAAAACUCCCGUGCUGAUCAGUAGUGGGAUUGCGCCUGUGAAUAGCCACUGCACUCCAGCCUGGGGAACAUAGAGACCCUGUCUCU